RNAcentral lists this long non-coding RNA (1094 nucleotides) under Apteryx rowi (Okarito brown kiwi). RNAcentral's name for it is "lncRNA (ENSARWG00000018251.1)". Lineage: Eukaryota; Metazoa; Chordata; Aves; Apterygiformes; Apterygidae. The record is from RNAcentral.
ACUUUUCCCCAUGGAGCAGAAAGCAAGCCUGGAUUGCAGAGGGAACGGGAAAGGGACUCGUGACUUUACCUCCCUGGUCAUUUCAGGGGGUUGCUGUCACCCAUCACACUUGUGAUGAAGCUGCCAAGAUUUCCUCCUAGCUCUUGGGCAAGUCAUCACAUCUGUGUCUCUGUCUUAGGUCCCCCACUUGUGAAAUGCAGCUAUUGAUCCUUCUGCUGUCCCACCCAUGUCCUGUCCUGCCCAGUUACCAUGAGGUGUGGAAGCCACAGCAAGAGGCCAAAUCCUGACCCCCCAGAAAAGGGCUGAGCUCUCCAGGAUGUGCAGGGACACUUUGACCCUCUCUGUGGCUUCUGGCCUCCUUGGGCUCUGCAGGGGUUUCCAGGCUGCAAGUGGGGAGAACGGGCUGGGCCUGGAAGCCAGAGCUGGAGAUAUCACAGUCAGCCUGUGUGUGUGAUCUGACAGACCAGGAUUUUGGAAACACAGCUGCAGGACAGGACCUGUCCAUGGAGAGGCUGGCAUAGGGAGCCUCCAGCUCCUGARACCUGCUAUCCCACGGCAGCCCCGUGAAGACUUGCUCCCGUUGUGCAAGGGUCUCCAGCGGGAGAUGCGAGCGUUGGGACAGGACCUGAGCUGUGAAUGCACAUCGGGCCAAACACCCAUGCAGGACAGCAGGUACGGGCAUUAUCUUGUGAGCUUGUGACAGGAGACACUUGUUUUCUGUUGGACUAAAGCAGCUGUCAAACACCUAAUAGUCCUUGAGGUGUCUGAAGGCCAGAGUCCUGCCUGCAGAGACAUUAUGCUGGCUUUGCUUAGUGAAUCCAGCAUGAACCGCAAUUUGGAUAAACGGUCUAAUUUAAUUCUGGACAUUUAAAAAAAAGCAGCUGGGUUUUUGAAAUUUUUUCUGUUUCAUUCUGUAGAGUUUUCUUCCCCUGCCUGCCCUUUCCAGAAAAAACCCGUGACUGCAAGACAAAGUUUAGUCAUUCUUUGAGUCUCAGAUCAUUCUUGGCAUGAUUUUUACCCACGCUGUCUCCUCAACAGUGGUUUUCUCAGGAGGGUUUUGCAAGUGUGAGGCUUUUGUAUUGCUAGCAUCUCCA